GCGCGCCAGCAAACGCCAUCACAGACGAAGUCCCAGUGCUUUUUAUAUUGUUAAUGGUAAAAUUGGGUCUUUAAUCACCAUAGAAACAUCAGUGACGGCGGUGCUGAUAUUCUGUUAGGUUAGAACUUUUUUUGCUCCGGCUUCCCUUUUUCAGAUCUGCACCCUUCGCCACUGCAGUAUAGUGCGU
This is a long non-coding RNA of Maniola jurtina (meadow brown), 187 nucleotides long. RefSeq lists it as uncharacterized. NCBI's taxonomy places the organism in Eukaryota, Metazoa, Arthropoda, Insecta, Lepidoptera, Nymphalidae. The transcript is spliced from 3 exons. The record is from RefSeq and is a predicted model, not a curated record.